Rana temporaria (common frog) is the source of this 448-nucleotide long non-coding RNA. RefSeq lists it as uncharacterized. The transcript has 2 exons. The record is from RefSeq and is a predicted model, not a curated record. Lineage: Eukaryota; Metazoa; Chordata; Amphibia; Anura; Ranidae.
ACAGCAGAGAUCCCCGCCACCAGCACAGCGCUGGUCGCGAGUGAGAAAAUCAGCAAGGGGAUCGGAGCUCACUGAGAGCUCCAGACAGAGAGAGAGAGAUGAGCUGGGCGUGUCACAGCCAGCUCUAACAUUUCUCCCCUCCCCUUGCUGCCCAUACAACCAGUUAAGAGGAGAGGAGCUGCUUCUACUCCUCCCCCUCCUCUCGUCCUUCGCUCCUGUGUCUGCCCCGCCCACUCUUCCCGACAGACACUGUUCUGCUGCCUAAGGAAUGUGGGCGGGAAGAUUCAAGCCCAGCAAACAGAAGGGAAAGAUGGAGGAGUCUGAUAUCCAUCCAGUCCCUCCUGCCAACCCGCAGCGUGGUGUUGAGAAGGCCCGGGAAGACAGACAGUCAAGUGUUGGUGAACUUGUGUGCCAGUGAGUCAGUGCCAACUGCCGUGAAGUUAGAUAG